This 254-nucleotide ribosomal RNA is filed under the name uncultured bacterium. Its description in RNAcentral is "partial 16S ribosomal RNA". It matches the Rfam family "Bacterial small subunit ribosomal RNA", at positions 524 to 776 of the family's 1533-position model. The record is from RNAcentral.
UACGAAGGGUGCAAGCGUUACUCGGAAUUACUGGGCGUAAAGCGUGCGUAGGUGGUGGGUUAAGUCUGUCGUGAAAGCCCCGGGCUCAACCUGGGAAUGGCAAUGGAGACUGCAAGGCUAGAGUUUGGCAGAGGGGGGUAGAAUUCCACGUGUAGCAGUGAAAUGCGUAGAUAUGAUGGAGGAACACCGAUGGCGAAGGCAGCCCCCUGGGUCAAAACUGACGCUCAUGCACGAAAGCGUGGGGAGCAAACAGG